GUCCUAAUCAUGCAGUCGAGCGAACGAAGAGCUUGCUCUUCGACGUUAGCGGCGGACGGGUGAGUAACACGUGGGCAACCUACCUUAUAGUUGGGAUACUCCGGGAAACCGGGGCUAAUACCGAAUAUCUAUACUUCAUGGUGAAAUACUGAAGACGGUCGGCUGUCGACUAUAAGAUGGGCCCGCGGGCAUACUAGUGGUGAGGUACG
This 209-nucleotide ribosomal RNA is filed under the name uncultured bacterium. RNAcentral's name for it is "partial 16S ribosomal RNA". It matches the Rfam family "Bacterial small subunit ribosomal RNA", at positions 46 to 261 of the family's 1533-position model. The record is from RNAcentral.